CGAUGCGUAGCCGACCUGAGCCAGGAUCAAACUCUACUGGGACUGAGACACGGCCCAGACUCCUACGGGAGGCAGCAGUAGGGAAUCUUCGGCAAUGGACGAAAGUCUGACCGAUCAACGCCUCGUGAGUGAAGAAGGUUUUCGGAUCGUAAAACUCUGUUGUUAGAGAAGAACAAGGACGUUAGUAACUGAACGUCCCCUGAUGGUAUCUAACCA
RNAcentral lists this ribosomal RNA (216 nucleotides) under Enterococcus sp. RNAcentral's name for it is "partial 16S ribosomal RNA". It matches the Rfam family "Bacterial small subunit ribosomal RNA", at positions 277 to 485 of the family's 1533-position model. The record is from RNAcentral. Lineage: Bacteria; Bacillati; Bacillota; Bacilli; Lactobacillales; Enterococcaceae.